Molecule: ribosomal RNA, 468 nt
Filed under: uncultured bacterium
Lineage: Bacteria
Description: partial 16S ribosomal RNA
Rfam family: Bacterial small subunit ribosomal RNA
Source: RNAcentral
GACGAACGCUGGCGGCGUGCUUAACACAUGCAAGUCGAACGGAAAGGCCCUGCUUUUGUGGGGUGCUCGAGUGGCGAACGGGUGAGUAACACGUGAGUAACCUGCCCUUGACUUUGGGAUAACUUCAGGAAACUGGGGCUAAUACCGGAUAGGAGCUCCUGCUGCAUGGUGUGGGUUGGAAAGUUUCGGCGGUUGGGGAUGGACUCGCGGGUUAUCAGCUUGUUGGUGGGGUAGUGGCUUACCAAGGCUUUGACGGGUAGCCGGCCUGAGAGGGUGACCGGCAACAUGGGGACUGAGAUACGGCGCAGACUCCAACGGGAGGAAGCAGUGGGGAAUAUUGCAAAAUGGGAGGAAGCCUGAUGAAGAAACGCCGCGUGCGGGAUGACGGCCUUCGGGUUGUAAACCGCUUUAGCAUGUGACGAAGCGUGAGUGACGGUAAUGGGUAAAGAAGCACCGGCUAACUACGUG